AGAGCGAACGCUGGCGGCAUGCCUAACACAUGCAAGUCGAACGAAGGCUUCGGCCUUAGUGGCGCACGGGUGCGUAACGCGUGGGAAUCUACCCUUAGGUUCGGAAUAACAGUUGGAAACGACUGCUAAUACCGGAUGAUGACGUAAGUCCAAAGAUUUAUCGCCUAGGGAUGAGCCCGCGUAGGAUUAGCUAGUUGGUGUGGUAAAGGCGCACCAAGGCGACGAUCCUUAGCUGGUCUGAGAGGAUGAUCAGCCACACUGGGACUGAGACACGGCCCAGACUCCUACGGGAGGCAGCAGUGGGGAUAUUGGACAAUGGGCGAAAGCCUGAUCCAGCAAUGCCGCGUGAGUGAUGAAGGCCUUAGGGUUGUAAAGCUCUUUUACCCGGGAUGAUAAUGACAGUACCGGGAGAAUAAGCUCCGGCUAACUCCGCGCCAGCAGCCGC
Molecule: ribosomal RNA, 445 nt
Filed under: uncultured bacterium
Lineage: Bacteria
Description: SSU rRNA
Rfam family: Bacterial small subunit ribosomal RNA
Source: RNAcentral